GUCUGAGGCUCGGCCGCCUGAGCCGCGGACGGUUUGCUGAGCCCGUUAGUGCGCCCGGCCGAGACACGCCGCCGCCAUGUCCCGCUACCUGCGUCCCCCCAACACGUCUCUGUUCGUCAGGAACGUGGCCGACGACACCAGGUCUGAAGACUUGCGGCGUGAAUUUGGUCGUUAUGGUCCUAUAGUUGAUGUGUAUGUUCCACUUGAUUUCUACACUCGCCGUCCAAGAGGAUUUGCUUAUGUUCAAUAUCCUUUCUUCAGAUGGCUGAUUAGUGAGGGGUGUUGAAGUUUGAAAUUCAAGUUUAUAGAAUGUAAAGCUGUACAGUUAUGGCGACCCCAAAGAGAAAGCAUGAAAGAACCUUUAGAGUAGAGUUCAACACUUAAGGCAAGUAGACAAGCCAAAGACCUCUUAAGGAUCAGGCUUGAAGAGAAGGGAGAGUUUGGGAAAAGAAAAAAUAAAGAAAAGCUGGAAGAAGGACAAGCCUAAUGGGAGACAAAGCCUCGCUUUAUCUACAAAAGGGGGAAAAGGUUGUUUUUCAAAGUUAAAGAUAAAGCCAUCUGUCAUAUUUGGCCAAGCAUCUCAUGACAAGUCCUUCUGACAAGCACUUAAAGAGUUAAAGGUCAAGAUGAAGUUGAAUGAUGGCCAAGAUUAAAGGAGUCAUACCUGAUGUAUCCUACAGAAUAACUAUUUUUCUUUUUUUUUUUUUUAAUGUUUUGUAAGCAGUUAAUUUUCAAAAUUAUUCUGGUUUGGUCUAGUGACAAAACCUGUAACUUGAUUUAUGUGGGCCUU
Molecule: long non-coding RNA, 790 nt
Filed under: Homo sapiens (human)
Lineage: Eukaryota; Metazoa; Chordata; Mammalia; Primates; Hominidae
Description: non-protein coding lnc-CNR2-1:2
Source: RNAcentral